AGUUUGAUCCUGGCUCAGGACGAACGCUGGCGGUGCUGCUUCACACAUGCAAGUCGAGCGGAUGAAAACAGUAGCUUGCUACUGUUGGAUUUAGCGGCGGACGGGUGAGUAAUAUAUAGGAAUCUGCCCUAAUGCGGGGAACAACAGACCGAAAGGUCUGCUAAUGCCCCAUAGGUAUGCAGUCUUCGGAUUGUAUAUUAAAGGAGUAAUCCACUUUAGGAUGAGCCUGUAUCCGAUUAGCUUGUUGGCGGGGUAAUGGCCCACCAAGGCUACGAUCGGUAGUUGGUCUGAGAGGAUGAUCAGCCACAAUGGGACUGAGACACGGCCCAUACUCCUACGGGAGGCAGCAGUGGGGAAUUUUACACAAUGGGGGAAACCCUGAUGUAGCGACACCGCGUGAACGAAGAAGCCUUUUGGGGUGUAAAGUUCUGUCGGCUGGAACGAAAAAAAUGACGGUACCAGCAAAGGAAGCAUCGGCUAACUACGUGCCAGCAGCCGCGGUAAGACGUAGGAUGCGAGCGUUGUCCGGAUUUAUUGGGCGUAAAGAGUUCGUAGGCGGUUAUUUAAGUCUGAUGUUAAAUACUGUGGCCUAACCACAGAACUGCAUUGGAUACUGGAUGACUUGAGUGCGGUAGAGGCAAGUGGAAUUCCCAGUGUAGCGGUGAAAUGCGUAGAUAUUGGGAAGAACACCAGUGGCGUAAGCGACUUGCUGGCCCGUAACUGACGCUGAGGAACGAAAGCCAGGGGAGCGAAUGGGAUUAGAUACCCCAGUAGUCCUGGCCGUAAACGAUGGAUACUAGGCGUUGUGGGUAUCGACCUCUGCAGUGCCGCAGCUAACGCGAUAAGUAUCCCGCCUGAGUAGUACGGCCGCAAGGUUGAAACUCAAAGGAAUUGACGGGGGCCCGCACAAGCGGUGAACAUGUGGUUUAUUCGAAGCACGCGAGASUUAUCAGGGCUUUACAUCCUAAGAAUUUUUUAGAAACGGAAAAGUGUCCUUCGGGAAACUUAGAGACAGGUGGUGCAUGGCUGUCGGCAGCUCGUGUCGUGAGAUGUUGGGUUAAAUCCCGCAACGAGCGCAACCCCCGUUGUUAGUUGCCAUCAGGUAAUGCUGGGCACUCUAACGAGACUGCCGGUGACAAACCGGAGGAAGGUGGGGACGACGUCAAGUCAUCAUGCCCCUUAUGUCCUGGGCUACACACGUGUUACAAUGGAUGGGACAAUGCGAAGCAAUCCGGCGACGGGGAGCGAAUCGCCAAACCCAUUCUCAGUUCGGAUCGCAGGCUGCAACUCGCCUGCGUGAAGUCGGAAUCGCUAGUAAACGCUGAUCAGCACGCAGCGUUGAAUACGUUCCCGGGCCUUGUACACACCGCCCGUCACGUCAUGGGAGCUGGUAACGCCCGAAGUCGGUGUGCUAUCCGUAAGGAAGCAGCCGCCUGAAGGCAGUGCCGGUGACUGGGACGAAGUCGUAACAAGGUAGCCG
RNAcentral lists this ribosomal RNA (1480 nucleotides) under uncultured bacterium. Its description in RNAcentral is "16S ribosomal RNA". It matches the Rfam family "Bacterial small subunit ribosomal RNA". The record is from RNAcentral.